GAUGAACGCUGACAGAAUGCUUAACACAUGCAAGUCUUUGGCGAAGCUGUGCUUGCACCGCCUAGCCAAGGCGGACGGGUGAGUAACGCGUAAGGAACUUGCCCUGCAGUCAGGGAUAACAGACGGAAACGACUGAUAAGACCUGGUAAAGUCAGGCGGACUCAUGUCCAGCCUGAUGAAAAGAGAUGCUGCAGGAGAGCCUUGCGUCCUAUUAGCUUGUUGGUGGGGUAACGGCCCACCAAGGCGAUGAUAGGUAGCCGGCCUGAGAGGGUGGACGGCCACAAGGGGACUGAGAUACGGCCGUUACUCAUACGGGAGGCAGCAGUGGGGAAUAUUGGACAAUGGGGGCAACACUGAUCCAGCAUUUCUGUGUGCACGAUGAAGGUUUUCGGAUUGUAAAGUGCUUUCAGCAGGGAAGAAAAAAAUGACGGUACCUGCAGAAGAAGCGACGGCUAAAUACGUG
RNAcentral lists this ribosomal RNA (463 nucleotides) under uncultured bacterium. RNAcentral describes it as "partial 16S ribosomal RNA". It matches the Rfam family "Bacterial small subunit ribosomal RNA", at positions 28 to 507 of the family's 1533-position model. The record is from RNAcentral.